Molecule: non-coding RNA, 140 nt
Organism: Podarcis lilfordi (Lilford's wall lizard)
Lineage: Eukaryota; Metazoa; Chordata; Lepidosauria; Squamata; Lacertidae
Source: the annotation of a GenBank genome assembly
UACAACAAAAGAUUAAAUCAGAUGUAAUUUGGCGUGGGUAUGUUAAAAAUCUGGAAAAUCAAUAAAUAUCGCACACACACCCACACCCAUAUUUUUAACAGAUCGACACUAAAUUACAUCUGAUUUAAUCUUUUGUUUUA